CCCCCCCCCCUAUUGAGGGGUCCCUUCAUAAUCCCCUUAGGAUAUAAAAAAUUUAGAACCCCCUUGGAUGCGAUUUUUGGAAGUUACCCCAUGGAUUUCUUUAUACCCCCUUUAGGAUAUCGUUUUUACCCCCUUGGAUAUCACUAAAACACCUAAUUUUUGCUAUUUUUUGGAAAAUUUCUUAAGCUACCCUCUAGGAAAUUUUAAGGUAAAAAAACCCUCCCAUCCCAUAGGAUUUCCAGACCCCUCAAUAGGGGG
Non-coding RNA from Paramuricea clavata, 258 nucleotides. Lineage: Eukaryota; Metazoa; Cnidaria; Anthozoa; Malacalcyonacea; Plexauridae. The record is from the annotation of a GenBank genome assembly.